GAUGAACGCUAGCGGCAGGCUUAACACAUGCAAGUCGAGGGGUAUAGGUUUUCGGACCUAGAGACCGGCGCACGGGUGCGUAACGCGUAUGCAAUCUACCUUGUACAGGGGGAUAGCCCAGAGAAAUUUGGAUUAAUACCCCAUAGUAUUAUAGAAUGGCAUCAUUUUAUAAUUAAAGUUCCAACGGUACAAGAUGAGCAUGCGUCCCAUUAGCUAGUUGGUAUGGUAACGGCAUACCAAGGCUACGAUGGGUAGGGGUCCUGAGAGGGAGAUCCCCCACACUGGUACUGAGACACGGACCAGACUCCUACGGGAGGCAGCAGUGAGGAAUAUUGGUCAAUGGACGCAAGUCUGAACCAGCCAUGCCGCGUGCAGGAUGACGGUCCUAUGGAUUGUAAACUGCUUUUGUACAGGAAGAAACACUCCUACGUGUAGGAACUUGACGGUACUGUAAGAAUAAGGAUCGGCUAACUCCGUGCCAGCCGCCGCGGUAA
RNAcentral lists this ribosomal RNA (494 nucleotides) under uncultured bacterium. RNAcentral describes it as "partial 16S ribosomal RNA". It matches the Rfam family "Bacterial small subunit ribosomal RNA", at positions 28 to 523 of the family's 1533-position model. The record is from RNAcentral.